GGCCCUGCCCGCCAGUUGGUCGCCUCCUGCAGCACCCUGGAGGCCCAGGGUCGGCGGGGUGGCGGCUCAGGGGAUCCGGGGCGCAGCCUACACCUGGGACAAUGAGCAGGAACCCAGGUUGCCUAACCACCAGUGCUCUGUCUGCCUGCCUGCCUGCCUGCUCGCCUGGACUCCUUUCUCUUGACAGGGAGUGGUGAGAACAGAACUCAAGGAAGCAGGCUUUGUGAAAACAUGAAUCGUGUGGCCCAGGUUCCUCUAAAGGCAUAGGCAAGAGAAGAGAGAAUGAACCAGGGAAUUACUCAGAACCUGCUCCUGGCUUGGAUGCUAAUGGGUCCUAUCAGCAAGCUGUGGUAGAAGGAGGCAGAGCCUGGCAGUCCUCGGUCCUCAAGGUGUUUGGCAUCACUCUCAGCACAGAUGAUGGGACUGGUGGGUUGACCCCAGCUCUGCUAUUCCCCCAUAAUGUACUCUCUAUCUUAGAGGAAAGGCAAGGGAAUUGUGGGUUCAAACAGAGUACCGGUCCAGCAGCAACAUCCAAACAGUUCAACCUUCCCUUAGUUAGGGUUUUU
Rattus rattus (black rat) is the source of this 566-nucleotide long non-coding RNA. RefSeq lists it as uncharacterized. NCBI's taxonomy places the organism in Eukaryota, Metazoa, Chordata, Mammalia, Rodentia, Muridae. The record is from RefSeq and is a predicted model, not a curated record. The transcript has 3 exons.